CCUACGGGGGGCAGCAGUGAGGAAUAUUGGUCAAUGGGCGCAAGCCUGAACCAGCCAAGUCGCGUGAGGGAAGACUGCCCUAUGGGUUGUAAACCUCUUUUGUCAGGGAGCAACGCCGGCUACGUGUAGCCGGACUGAGAGUACCUGAAGAAAAAGCAUCGGCUAACUCCGUGCCAGCAGCCGCGGUAAUACGGGGGAUGAGAGCGUUAUCCGGAUUGUUUGGGUUUAAAGGGUGCGUAGGCGGAGUGCAAAGUAAGCGGUAAAAUCGCGGGGCUCAACCUCGCUCCGCAGUUGAUACUGGCGUUCUUGAGUAGGCGAGAGGUAUGCGGAAUGCGUGGUGUAGCGGUGAAAUGCAUAGAUAUCACGAAGAACUCCGAUUGCGAAGGCAGCAUACCGGCGCCCAACUGACGCUGAGGCACGAAAGCGUGGGUAUCGAACAGGAUUAGAUACCCGAGUAGUC
This 460-nucleotide ribosomal RNA is filed under the name uncultured bacterium. RNAcentral describes it as "partial 16S ribosomal RNA". It matches the Rfam family "Bacterial small subunit ribosomal RNA", at positions 338 to 795 of the family's 1533-position model. The record is from RNAcentral.